Molecule: long non-coding RNA, 1687 nt
Organism: Acanthopagrus latus (yellowfin seabream)
Lineage: Eukaryota; Metazoa; Chordata; Actinopteri; Spariformes; Sparidae
Exons: 5
Source: RefSeq, a predicted model, not a curated record
UCAAGCUCCUCCCUAGCCUUCUUCCUCCCUUCACCAGGCAGCCUGGCCCUGUCGCUGUCCUCCUUGGACUGACGCUGAAGCUUCGUUUUAUUUUAUCGCCAGUCUCUCACGUUCUUGACUGCGUCGACAGAGCAACGUCAGUCCAUCGGCCCAUUAUUUAUCGGCCCACCGGGAAAAAUCCCGGUACUCCCGACUGUCCCCUGAAACAGCAGUUCUCUGGAGUGGCUGUGUGUGCGUGUGCGCGCGCAUGCACGAGUGCGCACGAGCGUGCUCUUUUGUUUAGGGGCACAAAAAAAUAUUUGUACCGGGGCGAGUCACCAUGAUGUUACGCUACUGGUUGAUAGUCUCGUAAGACAGCGUUAAGUGAGCCUGGCGUCAGUCACCUCUCAGUCAUAGCACCACCUGUGCAUUAGAGUCCGACAGAGAUAGAGCGGCGCCACCUCAGUUCAAUGUAGUGGUUGUUUUUUUCACAACAAUGGCUGAGCACGAAGCCCCUCAAAAGUUCCCGAAAGUUAGCACAAGCUAACUUCCACUCAAUGUAAUUCCUAUGGAGAACACGGUGCUGCAUGCCAGGAGUGCUGAGUAGACAAUGGUGAUGAUAUCUUGCGUACAUUUUGGAACCUACAGUAGGAGCACUUUGCUGUGCAGCAUCAGUGAUGUUGCAGGCCAGGAAUACUGAGUGGACCACAGUGAGACUGAAAACGUAAGCAUGAUGGAAGCCUGCUUGAGAGUGCCAGAACCUCCUUCUCCAACACACCCUCUGCAUUUGGAAGCUCCAAGAGGGAGGAACCAGUCUUUGUCCUUCCCUUCCCUUGGUUUUUGCAUUGUUUUUCCUGUUCUGUGUUCUCUGUUUUUAAUUAAAAAAAUCUUAAACUUCCCAGUGGUGUAGUAUUUGAAAGUCUGCGGAAGUGCAGAUGCAUUGUUUGAAUAUAAUUAGCCCACAUAUUUCUUUGUUGUUUAAGUCUUUGAAGGUGGUUAAAUUGCUCCUUCUGACUUUAGCCACCUAUGCUUUUCUCCUUUCUCUGUCUUUGAGGAAGCCAGACAGUAAUUUCUCAGAGCGACUGGGGCAUCCCCAUGUAGCACAGCACACCAUGGUGAAGACUGUAUUCAAGGACAACAUUGCAAAAAUGACACAAACAGCUUGAUAUGCUGAUCAGACUUCUUUAGAAACUGUUUUUAAGGAAUACACUGUGGCACUCACUCUGCACCACGUGUCCGAUCGACUGUAAGAGGGAAUCCGAGUUGAAUGAAUGUAGGCUACUAAGAAGAACGAAGAAAGAAAAUAGAAUAAUAAAUAAGUUUGCUCCACCACAUCUCAAAACUAGCCACUAUUGAACUGCAGAAAGGGAGUACAAGGAAAAAGCUCAACAAGACAGUUCUCUUUCAGGGUUUUUAACUUGUGUGAAACUCUGGUGAGUUUUGUAAAUGUGUAAAUAUGGUUUGGGGUGGGGAUGUGUUAUGUUCUGUUAAAUUGAGAAUGUAUCUUUACAUUACGUUUUCAUUACAUGUUAUUCUCUCUGCUUUGUUACACAUGUCUGAGCAUGUAGAGGCAUUCCACUUCCUUCCCGUCCCCAUUUGUUAUCCAGGUUUUGUUUUAGUCACUCAUGAUUCUCUCUCUCUCAUUUCUCACUCAUUGACCUGAUAUGAGUUAUAUUGAUACUCUAUAUAUGAUUUAUAUAUAUUUUCA